GACCUGCAGGCGCCGCGGAAUCACUAGUGAUUUAGCAGCACCGGCUACUCGUGCAGCAGCCGCGGUAAUACGGAGGGGUGCAAGCGUACUCGGAAAUCGCUGGGCGUAAAGCGCGCGCAGGCGGCCUUUAAGUUGGGAUGUGAAAGCCUAUGGCUCAACCAUAGAACUGCAUCCCAAAACUAUCAGGCUAGAGUGUGGGAGAGGAAGAUGGAAUUUAGUUGUGUAGGGGUAAAAUCCGUUGAGAUAACUAGGAAUACCAAAAGCGAAGGCAAUCUUCUGGAACAUUACUGACGCUGAGGCGCGAAAGCGUGGGGAGCAAACAGGAUUAGAUACCCUGGUAGUCCACGCCCUAAACGAUGAAUGUUAGUCGUCGGGUAGCUAGUCUAUUCGGUGAUGCAGCUAACGCAUUAAACAUUCCGCCUGGGGAGUACGGUCGCAAGAUUAAAACUCAAAGGAAUAGACGGGGACCCGCACAAGUGGUGGAGCAUGUGGUUUAAUUCGAAGAUACGCGAAGAACCUUACCUAGCCUUGACAUAUUAAAGAACACCCUAGAGAUAGAGUGGUGCCUUCGGGAGCUUUUUUACAGGUGCUGCACGGCUGUCGUCAGCUCGUGUCGUGAGAUGUUGGGUUAAGUCCCGCAACGAGCGCAACCCUCGUCACUAGUUACUAACGGUUCGGCCGAGGACUCUAGUGAGACUGCCUUCGUAAGGAGGAGGAAGGUGAGGACGACGUCAAGUCAUCAUGGCCCUUACGGCUAGGGCAACACACGUGCUACAAUGGCCAGGACAGUGAAACGCGAUACCGCGAGGUGGAGCAAAUCUAUAAACCUGGUCUCAGUUCGGAUUGUAGUCUGCAACUCGACUACAUGAAGCUGGAAUCACUAGUAAUCGUAGAUCAGCUAUGCUACGGUGAAUACGUUCCCGGGUCUUGUACUCACCGCCCGUCACACCAUGGGAGUUGAUUUCACCCGAAGCGGGGAAGCUAAACUGGCUACCCUCCACGGUGGAAUCAGCGACUGGGGUGAAGUCGUAACAAGGUAACC
RNAcentral lists this ribosomal RNA (1042 nucleotides) under uncultured bacterium. Its description in RNAcentral is "bacterial SSU rRNA". It matches the Rfam family "Bacterial small subunit ribosomal RNA", at positions 450 to 1501 of the family's 1533-position model. The record is from RNAcentral.